This is a long non-coding RNA of Rhincodon typus (whale shark), 2181 nucleotides long. RefSeq lists it as uncharacterized. The transcript has 2 exons. The record is from RefSeq and is a predicted model, not a curated record. Lineage: Eukaryota; Metazoa; Chordata; Chondrichthyes; Orectolobiformes; Rhincodontidae.
CAGGAAAGAGCUGAAUAAAACACACUGGACAUUUCAUUGAAAUUUACCCCUUGUUUAUAAUCUACAGAUUUUGGAAAUGUUCAGACAAGUUGCAAUUAAUAUAUGUCCCAGGAUUGUUGGUGAUUUGUGUAUCUUUUCUUUCUAUGUUCUCAUAGAUUUAAGAACGAUAAAACUACUGAUCUCAGGAAUAGCGGUAGUAUUGAUCAUUGUUGCAGUGACCGUCUUGUGGUUGAAAUGCAAUGCCCAUAAAAGCGGAAAAUAUAAUGUACAGAAUUCAAAACCCAACAACAAUGCACAGAUCCCCAAUGGGCAUGAUCAUCAGGAAGAUGUUCCUUUUGGAGGAACGUCAUCCAUAACUUGGUAACACAACAACAAUUACAAACUGGUGCAAGAUACGGAUGGUGUCUAAUAAUCAGCGUGAUAAUUGACAUAGCCAUCGUAUUGACUAUAAUACUUAUCAAUAAGUUCAGCACUGCCAAUAGAAGUGGCAGCUAUAAUGUCUGCAAGAGAAAUCAACCUGUGGAAGAUAGGUCUAUGAAUCCUACCAGGGAUAACUGAAUGGAAACAAUGAUGAACAAAUUGAGACAUCAACAGAUUGUAUCUAAUUGUAAAAUUAUCACAUUUAAAGAUAUUCUAGAUAUUUGGGAAGAUUUUAUGAAUCCUUUAUUUUGAAAGUCAUUUCCUACAAGCUUAUUUUUGUAUUACUAUUAAUUGAAAGAAAUACUGUAAAUUCCUUGGGUACAUAUUGAUUUAUUAGCAUCCAUUUAUAGUACAGCAUGUUGUAGGACCACAUGAAAUAGGCCAUUCAGCCCCUUGGGCCUGCUCUGCCAUUCAAUAGGAUCAUGUCUGAUCUGACAUUCCUCACAUCCAUUUACCGUCUGCCACAAACAUUACAUCAAACAGACAGGAAGGAAAUUAGCCAUCAGAAUACAUGAACAUCAGCUAGCAGCAAAAUGGCACGACGUACUCUCCUUAAUAUCGGUACAUUCAGACAAUGAAGGCCAUCAGUUUAACUGGGACAAGGUAACCAUAGUAGCCCAACCCAAACAUAGACACGAAUAGGAAUUUUUAGAGGCACGGUUCUCCACCUGUAAUGCAAUCAACAAACAUAUAGAAUUGGACCCCAUAUACAAACCCAUACAGAUCAAAACCGGAAAUGACGCUACUCACCAUAACAGACCGGACAGUAUAAAUUCCAAGCAGAGUAGAACAACACCGCUUCAUCGGAAGCUCCACUGAUGAUGUUAUUUAGCAUGGUGACGAAACGUCUGAACAAAAACAAGCCAGCUCGGUGAGCAAGUCAACAACCUCACCAACAAGGUCUCUGCCCCACAGCUCUCUGUGGCAAGGAGUUCCAAAGACUCAUAAGCCUCUGAGAGAAGAAAUUCCUCCAUAUCUCAGUCUGACAUUGGUACCCCUUCAUUUGGAGGCUGUGCCCUCCAGCCCCAGACUCUCCCAUGAGGGGAAACAUUCUCUUGGCAUUUUAGCUGUCAAGUUCUUUACGAAUCCUAUGUGUUUCAAUGAGAUUAUCUCUCAUUCUUCUAAACUUAAAUGAAUAGAGUCCCAAUCUGUUUAAUCUUUGUUCAUAAGACAAUCCCUCCAUACUGUGGUCACCACAUUAUUGAGUAGGCAAGUGCUACUUGAUGUGACAGAAUCAUUCUAGGUUUAUGAUUGAUAAACUAGGAUUUUUAGGCCUGAAACGUCAGCCUUCCUGCUCCUCUGAUGCUGCUUGGCCAGCUGUGUUCAUCCAGCUCUACACCUUGUUAUCUCAUUGUAAAUAGUGAAACAUGUCAUUGUUAUAAACCCUUGGGUUUUUGUUGAAAGCUCUCUAAUUGUGUUAAAAUACUGUAUUUUAAUUUAAAAAGUCAAUUGAAAGUGUUGUGCAACUGUGCAAAAUUUUACUUUCAAAAGGGAUGUUACCAUUUCUUCAAAUACUAAUGUAACACGUUUAUUACUUAUGCUGUUUUUUCUGGACACCAUCAUAGAGGCAUUCAUUGAAGAUUAUAUGGUUACCUUAGUAAUGGCCAAACUGAAAAUAAAUGUUUGUCUGGGGAGGGAGAGUUGUGCCUUAUUUGGUUUCACUGUACAGAGAACAGUUAAAAAUAAUGUCCCUCAGUGAAAAACCUAAAUUGUUUGCUUUUCUAUAUCUGACAUGCAAUAAAUCAAUUUGUUUUACAUUUA